UUACAAGUUUCCGGAAAAACCUUCACCACCGAAAAAGCGCAAUAAACAAUGUUGCGUCGCGUUCUUUAUUUCGUCUGACAGCUUUAGUGAAAUAACUUAUAUAGGCCUAUUAAUGCAGAGACUUCACGUGUGCGUGUUAGUCGACUGGAUGUUUAACUUGAGCUUCUGGGAAGCGGUUGGACAGGACAGAUAUAAUUGUUUGUUUAAUUUGUCUCUGAUGCGUGGAGCCAUGUCCGCGUUCACUAAUUACAGUCAAGGUUUUGAUUUGUGGCAAUCAGGCUUGUUUAAUCUGCUAAAUCCAGGAUCAGAAUGAACCAGUUCCGCCUUUUCCAUGAGCUGCUGCACUAAGUGUCACUGGGGCCUGUGCGCUGAAGUGUGCGCAACCAAUGCGCUGCGUAUUUCCUCGUUUUGAAGGGCAAUUACUCCCCAUAUUGAAUGCAGAGUGGCUCAGUAUAUUGGGAUUACAGAGGUGGACACCCACAGGGACGGAGGGAUUGUGUUUGUGUGUGUUGCUGCAUGCGCACUCACUGCACGCCUAGUACAAAAUGAUCAGCCAUCUCAGCGCCUGCUCAAGCCAGAGGCCCGACGAUCGGACCUGACUUCACACUAGUGCUCUUUGCAUAAAAGAACGUGUCUACAGUCAUAAUAUUUACUUUGAUAAUGUUUUCACGACACGGCAACUCUGAAGCGGUGAUAUAUGUAUAACUGUCUAAAUAUGACAGUCCAUGUGAUUUGGAAUGUGCCAUGAAUAAGGCUCCUUUUACCCUCUCUCUAGAAUUUUCUCUGAAUAAACAAGAGACUCGGGUCAGGUCC
Long non-coding RNA from Carassius gibelio (silver crucian carp), 813 nucleotides. RefSeq lists it as uncharacterized. The record is from RefSeq and is a predicted model, not a curated record. The transcript is spliced from 2 exons. NCBI's taxonomy places the organism in Eukaryota, Metazoa, Chordata, Actinopteri, Cypriniformes, Cyprinidae.